RNAcentral lists this non-coding RNA (50 nucleotides) under uncultured Rikenella sp. The record is from RNAcentral. Lineage: Bacteria; Pseudomonadati; Bacteroidota; Bacteroidia; Bacteroidales; Rikenellaceae.
ACCGUGGAAAGAUUUGGUCGAUUGCAACCACGCGAAAAAAUGCUAAAGCA